RNAcentral lists this ribosomal RNA (155 nucleotides) under Cornus suecica. RNAcentral describes it as "5.8S ribosomal RNA". It matches the Rfam family "5.8S ribosomal RNA". Rfam says of the family: 5.8S ribosomal RNA (5.8S rRNA) is a component of the large subunit of the eukaryotic ribosome. The record is from RNAcentral. Lineage: Eukaryota; Viridiplantae; Streptophyta; Magnoliopsida; Cornales; Cornaceae.
NACUCUCGACAACGGAUAUCUCGGCUCUCGCAUCGAUNAAGAACGUAGUGAAAUGCGAUACUUGGUGUGAAUUGCANAAUCCCGUGAACCAUCGAGUCUUUGAACGCAAGUUGCGCCCGAAGCCUUCUGGCCGANGGCACGUCUGCCUGGGCGUC